GAAGCUGUGAGCUCUGACAGGUGUAGAUAACCGUGCCCAAGUGACUGCUGUAGGCGUAAGAGGAUACUAUAGGGCAUAAAAAUGCAUUAGAUGCUUGUGUUUAGGUGAAUUAAUCUAGCCAUCAGAAUCUUGAAUAGAGUAAUGGAAUAGUCAUACUUUUGAUUAGCUUGCUUUGUAUAUAAAAACAAAUAAUACUAAGAUUUUGAUUUUUAGCUCUUUCACUCUCUCCAGUGAGAUUUAUUCAUCUAUAAAAGCAUCAUUCAAAAUCAAUACGAAGAAAAAACUGAAGAACAGGCUUCAAAUCUUUGUAAAGACAUAAAUGAUAGACUGACAGAUGUUGAGUUUUUUCAUAAACAGAAAUAUUACAACAUAAAUGGAGAAGACACAGCGUGUUCACCAGGAAAACUUUGAAUAUUUUAUGUAACAAACUACACGAGGAGAUUGAAGAUCUGGAGAGAAAAGUGCAGGAAUACCAAAAAAAGGAAGGACUAAGAUGGUAUGUUUUUGUAAAAGAUCAUAAACUCAUUGUCCAAAUGUGAAAAUCUUCAAACAUAUUCAAUGAAGUGUAUUUCCAGUGCCAUUAUUCUUAUAGGAAACAUUAGGUUGGGAAAAUACUAGAAUGCUGUUUGGGAUUGUCCUGUGCUAUUGUAAGGAUUUUGAUGAAAAUAAUUUAUAGGACUCUACUAAUGUCACACAAAUUUAUAUCAGUAAUACUCUGACCAAGAACUGGUUGUACUACCUUUUUUUAUCUAUUUUUUAAUAAAAUAAAAAUAUUUUAUGAAAUAUUUUUGUAA
This 794-nucleotide long non-coding RNA is filed under the name Calidris pygmaea (Spoon-billed sandpiper). RNAcentral's name for it is "lncRNA (ENSCPGG00000017625.1)". The record is from RNAcentral. Lineage: Eukaryota; Metazoa; Chordata; Aves; Charadriiformes; Scolopacidae.